Molecule: long non-coding RNA, 120 nt
Organism: Sapajus apella (tufted capuchin)
Lineage: Eukaryota; Metazoa; Chordata; Mammalia; Primates; Cebidae
Exons: 3
Source: RefSeq, a predicted model, not a curated record
GCUGAUAUGGUUUGACUGUGUCCCCACCUGAAUCUCAUUUGAAUUCCCAGUGUUGUGGGAGGGACCCAGUGGGAGGUAAUUGAAUCAUGGGGGCAGGUCUUUCCCAUGCUGUUCUCAUGA